RNAcentral lists this ribosomal RNA (367 nucleotides) under uncultured Pseudomonas sp. RNAcentral describes it as "bacterial SSU rRNA". It matches the Rfam family "Bacterial small subunit ribosomal RNA", at positions 1017 to 1382 of the family's 1533-position model. The record is from RNAcentral. Lineage: Bacteria; Pseudomonadati; Pseudomonadota; Gammaproteobacteria; Pseudomonadales; Pseudomonadaceae.
CCUUCGGGAACGUCUGACACAGGUGCUGCAUGGCUGUCGUCAGCUCGGUGUCGUGAGAUGUUGGGUUAAGUCCCGUAACGAGCGCAACCCUUGUCCUUAGUUACCAGCACGUUAUGGUGGGCACUCUAAGGAGACUGCCGGUGCAAACCGGAGGAAGGUGGGGAUGACGUCAAGUCAUCAUGGCCCUUACGGCCUGGGCUACACACGUGCUACAAUGGUCGGUACAAAGGGUUGCCAAGCCGCGAGGUGGAGCUAAUCCCAUAAAACCGAUCGUAGUCCGGAUCGCAGUCUGCAACUCGACUGCGUGAAGUCGGAAUCGCUAGUAAUCGUGAAUCAGAAUGUCACGGUGAAUACGUUCCCGGGCCUU